UACUUAACCUAGCGGCGGACGGGUGAGUAAUGCUUAGGAAUCUGCCUAUUAGUGGGGGGCAACAUCUCGAAAGGGAUGCUAAUACCGCAUACGUCCUACGGGAGAAAGCAGGGGACCUUCGGGCCUUGCGCUAAUAGAUGAGCCUAAGUCGGAUUAGCUAGUUGGUGGGGUAAAGGCCUACCAAGGCGACGAUCUGUAGCGGGUCUGAGAGGAUGAUCCGCCACACUGGGACUGAGACACGGCCCAGACUCCUACGGGAGGCAGCAGUGGGGAAUAUUGGACAAUGGGGGGAACCCUGAUCCAGCCAUGCCGCGUGUGUGAAGAAGGCCUUUUGGUUGUAAAGCACUUUAAGCGAGGAGGAGGCUACCGAGAUUAAUACUCUUGGAUAGUGGACGUUACUCGCAGAAUAAGCACCGGCUAACUCUGUGCCAGCAGCCGCGGUAAUACAGAGGGUGCAAGCGUUAAUCGGAUUUACUGGGCGUAAAGCGCGCGUAGGUGGCCAAUUAAGUCAAAUGUGAAAUCCCCGAGCUUAACUUGGGAAUUGCAUUCGAUACUGGUUGGCUAGAGUAUGGGAGAGGAUGGUAGAAUUCCAGGUGUAGCGGUGAAAUGCGUAGAGAUCUGGAGGAAUACCGAUGGCGAAAGCAGCCAUCUGGCCUAAUACUGACACUGAGUGCGAAAGCAUGGGGAGCAAACAGAUUAGAUACCCUGUAGUCCAUGCCGUAAACGAUGUCUACUAGCCGUUGGGGCCUUUGAGCUUUAGUGGCGCAGCUACGCGAUAGUAGACGCUGGGGGAGUACGGUC
RNAcentral lists this ribosomal RNA (801 nucleotides) under uncultured bacterium. RNAcentral's name for it is "bacterial SSU rRNA". It matches the Rfam family "Bacterial small subunit ribosomal RNA", at positions 84 to 887 of the family's 1533-position model. The record is from RNAcentral.